GGAAGUUCGAAGAGCCGGAGCAGGAUCGUAGUGGGCUGGGCCCCACUGGGCUGAGAUGAGAGGUUAGUCUGGAGAAAGAGCGUGGGGUGCUAGAUAGAUAACUAUGUCCGGGACUGGUUCCUGUGUUUUUCUAGGGCAUGUGGACUAGGGAUGGGUACUUGAGCAGGAGCCAGCAACUUGAAUGAAGCGUUUGUGCAGGAGUUACCUGCAUUGUCGGAAAUUACUGUCCUGUGUGCUCAACAAGCUCAUUUAUGGAAGGUCAUCCCUUUAUUGAGACCAGCCCAAAAGACCCUGAGGAACUUAGAAGACUCCUGCUGACUUUGAAGAUCAUAGUCCCAAAGCAGGGCCAUGAAACGGAGCAGCAAAGAAGAAUAUCAUUGUCAAAGCUCAAGUUCCAUCAGAAUGGGAUGUCAGAAAAUAUGAUGCACAUAAAGAAGUCCAGAUCACCCACCAUCCACCCCCUUGGAGACGGCUGCUGUUAACAGUCAUCCACAUCCCAUUCUUUCUAUGCUUACACACUGAAGACAACAGAAAUGAGAGCAUUUUUUUGUAUGCUGCUUUUUAACCAGUUUUCACUUUUAUUUAAAUUCUCCAACAAAUCUUUUAAAAUUUCUUUUUAAAUUCAUCUACUGCUCCAUGCUAUUCCUGUGGGUGAAAAGCUGUAACACUCAGCACAAUAAAUUAAUUCUCUGUGAAACUCAUGUUCUCAUGUUACCAGAAAUAUUUUUUGGUCUGAUCUAUAUUUCUUCUUUGUAUAAUACUUACAAAAUGACCAAACUAAAUAAAAUUAUGUUCCCUAUUGUUUGAAAAUAGUUUGUAACUAGGAAAUAAAUACUGUGGUACAUUAGG
This is a long non-coding RNA of Sapajus apella (tufted capuchin), 849 nucleotides long. RefSeq lists it as uncharacterized. The transcript has 3 exons. The record is from RefSeq and is a predicted model, not a curated record. Lineage: Eukaryota; Metazoa; Chordata; Mammalia; Primates; Cebidae.